UCGCUUGCCAGGGGACUACGAGCCCCAGCUUGAAACCCAAAGGACUUGGCGGUGCUUUAGACCCCCCUAGAGGAGCCUGUUCUAGAACCGAUAACCCCCGUUUAACCUCACCCCCUCUUGUUCCCCCCGCCUAUAUACCGCCGUCGUCAGCUUACCCUGUGAAGGACUAACAGUGAGCAUAAUUGGCACAGCCUAAAACGUCAGGUCGAGGUGUAGCGUAUGAGGGGGGAAGAAAUGGGCUACAUUCACUGAGCCAGUGAAUAACGAACGAUGCUUUGAAACAACCAUCUGAAGGAGGAUUUAGCAGUAAGAGGGCAGUAGAGCGCCCUCUG
Molecule: ribosomal RNA, 332 nt
Filed under: Pomatoschistus marmoratus (marbled goby)
Lineage: Eukaryota; Metazoa; Chordata; Actinopteri; Gobiiformes; Gobiidae
Description: partial 12S ribosomal RNA
Rfam family: Bacterial small subunit ribosomal RNA
Source: RNAcentral